This is a long non-coding RNA of Hyla sarda, 483 nucleotides long. RefSeq lists it as uncharacterized. The record is from RefSeq and is a predicted model, not a curated record. The transcript is spliced from 4 exons. NCBI's taxonomy places the organism in Eukaryota, Metazoa, Chordata, Amphibia, Anura, Hylidae.
AGAAGAUGGAGGCCAUACCUGCAGAAGAAGAUGCCUGGGGACCUGGGAUCUUCGCUGGAGCCUGCUGGAUCAUGAUCAGCACAAGAUUUUUUAGGACAGGAGAUGUCAUCUACCCCUACAAGAAACCCACUAGGAGAGGUAGCAGAAAAUGACACAGAACAAGGAAGAACAAGAACGAAGCAACAACGCAAGCAGUUAUCUCCUCGUUCUCAGAACACCCAAAAGAGACUGCAAACAUAAGUGAGACUAUGGCCAGACCACCUGGAGCUUGAAAACUAGGAUGAAUAACCAUCGCUAUAGUAUCAGAAACAGAUAAUGAACUUACCUGUCUCCAAGCACUUUACAGAGGUUAAGAAUUGAACAAGAAUUAUUAUGAUACUGUGAACUGAGAAGGAGGGCUAUGACACCUGUUCCAUCUCAUGCCAUUUUUGUUUUUAUUGUUGGUAGCUAUGUAUUUUUUUCUUUUAAUUUUUUGUUUAUAUU